Molecule: ribosomal RNA, 404 nt
Filed under: Actinomycetes bacterium
Lineage: Bacteria; Bacillati; Actinomycetota; Actinomycetes
Description: Actinobacteria bacterium partial 16S ribosomal RNA
Rfam family: Bacterial small subunit ribosomal RNA
Source: RNAcentral
UGGGGAAUAUUGGACAAUGGGCGCAAGCCUGAUCCAGCCAUGCCGCGUGAGUGAUGAAGGCCCUAGGGUUGUAAAGCUCUUUCACCGGUGAAGAUAAUGACGGUAACCGGAGAAGAAGCCCCGGCUAACUUCGUGCCAGCAGCCGCGGUAAUACGAAGGGGGCUAGCGUUGUUCGGAUUUACUGGGCGUAAAGCGCACGUAGGCGGACUAUUAAGUCAGGGGUGAAAUCCCGGGGCUCAACCCCGGAACUGCCUUUGAUACUGGUAGUCUUGAGUUCGAGAGAGGUGAGUGGAAUUCCGAGUGUAGAGGAGAAAUUCGUAGAUAUUCGGAGGAACACCAGUGGCGAAGGCGGCUCACUGGCUCGAUACUGACGCUGAGGUGCGAAAGCGUGGGGAGCAAACAGG